This is a non-coding RNA of Pelobates cultripes (western spadefoot toad), 227 nucleotides long. The record is from the annotation of a GenBank genome assembly. Lineage: Eukaryota; Metazoa; Chordata; Amphibia; Anura; Pelobatidae.
CUACAACUCAGAAGCGAAUGUUAUUCAUUGUUACAUUUCACCCAGAGUUUGACUACAGUACUGGGAUUUGAUACCUAACUCCCGAACUACGGGCCUGCUGCCUAUUCGUUAUACGAACGGCAGACCACCAGGAUUUUGGCAUGUGCCGCCACUUAAACCCGGUCACCCCUGGAACAACCGAACGGCUGACCACCCUAUGAGCGGAGUGUGUCUCCACUUAAUCGCCC